GCGGACGUAGCUCAGUUGGUAGAGCGCAACCUUCCCAAGGUUGAUGUCGCGAGUUCGAAUCUCGUCGUCCGCU
This 73-nucleotide transfer RNA is filed under the name Nocardioides sp. YR527. RNAcentral's name for it is "tRNA_Gly_CCC". It matches the Rfam family "tRNA". From Rfam's summary of the family: Transfer RNA (tRNA) molecules are approximately 80 nucleotides in length. Lineage: Bacteria; Bacillati; Actinomycetota; Actinomycetes; Propionibacteriales; Nocardioidaceae. The record is from RNAcentral.